UACGGGAGGCAGCAGUGGGGAAUCUUAGACAAUGGGCGCAAGCCUGAUCUAGCGAUGCCGCGUGAGUGACGAAGGCCUUAGGGUCGUAAAGCUCUUUCGCCAGGGAUGAUAAUGACAGUACCUGGUAAAGAAGUCCCGGCUAACUCCGUGCCAGCAGCCGCGGUAAUACGGAGGGGACUAGCGUUGUUCGGAAUUACUGGGCGUAAAGCGUACGUAGGCGGAUUAGUCAGUUAGAGGUGAAAUCCCAGGGCUCAACCCUGGAACUGCCUUUAAUACUGCUAGUCUUGAGUUCGAGAGAGGUGAGUGGAAUUCCGAGUGUAGAGGUGAAAUUCGUAGAUAUUCGGAGGAACACCAGUGGCGAAGGCGGCUCACUGGCUCGAUACUGACGCUGAGGUACGAAAGUGUGGGGAGCAAACAGGAUUAGAUACCCUGGUAGUCCACACCGUAAACGAUGAAUGCCAGUCGUCGGGUAGCAUGCUAUUCGGUGACACACCUAACGGAUUAAGCAUCCCGCCUGGGGAUAGGG
This 526-nucleotide ribosomal RNA is filed under the name uncultured bacterium. Its description in RNAcentral is "bacterial SSU rRNA". It matches the Rfam family "Bacterial small subunit ribosomal RNA", at positions 340 to 884 of the family's 1533-position model. The record is from RNAcentral.